UGGGGAAUAUUGCACAAUGGGCGAAAGCCUGAUGCAGCGACGCCGCGUGAGGGAUGACGGCCUUCGGGUUGUAAACCUCUUUCAGCAGGGACGAAGCGCAAGUGACGGUACCUGCAGAAGAAGCACCGGCUAACUACGUGCCAGCAGCCGCGGUAAUACGUAGGGUGCAAGCGUUGUCCGGAAUUACUGGGCGUAAAGAGUUCGUAGGCGGUUUGUCGCGUCGUUUGUGAAAACCAGCAGCUCAACUGCUGGCUUGCAGGCGAUACGGGCAGACUUGAGUACUGCAGGGGAGACUGGAAUUGCUGGUGUAGCGGUGAAAUGCGCAGAUAUCAGGAGGAAAACCGGUGGCGGAGGCGGGUCUCUGGGCAGUAACUGACGCUGAGGAACGAAAGCGUGGGUAGCGAACAGG
Molecule: ribosomal RNA, 409 nt
Filed under: Acidobacteriota bacterium
Lineage: Bacteria; Pseudomonadati; Acidobacteriota
Description: Acidobacteria bacterium partial 16S ribosomal RNA
Rfam family: Bacterial small subunit ribosomal RNA
Source: RNAcentral